Molecule: ribosomal RNA, 1416 nt
Filed under: uncultured bacterium
Lineage: Bacteria
Description: partial 16S ribosomal RNA
Rfam family: Bacterial small subunit ribosomal RNA
Source: RNAcentral
UGCAGUCGAACGAGAAGGGUCUUCGGACCUGAGUAGAGUGGCGCACGGGUGAGUAACGCGUAAGUAACCUGCCCCUUUAUCUGGGAUAACAGUUCGAAAGGGCUGCUAAUACCGGAUAAUCUUGCCGGUCAUAAGUCUGGUAAGGAAAGGUGACCUCUUCUUGAAAGUUACCGUAGAGGGAGGGGCUUGCGUACCAUUAGCUUGUUGGUGGGGUAACGGCCUACCAAGGCGACGAUGGUUAGCGGGUUUGAGAGGAUGAUCCGCCACACUGGAACUGAGACACGGUCCAGACUCCUACGGGAGGCAGCAGUAGGGAAUCUUCCGCAAUGGGCGAAAGCCUGACGGAGCAACGCCGCGUGAGCGAAGAAGGUCUUCGGAUUGUAAAGCACUUUUAGUGAGGAGGAAAGGUUAGUAGUUAAUACCUGCUAGCUGUGACGUUACUCACAGAAAAAGCACCGGCUAACUCUGUGCCAGCAGCCGCGGUAAUACAGAGGGUGCAAGCGUUAUUCGGAAUUACUGGGCGUAAAGCGCGCGUAGGCGGAUUGUUAAGUCAGUUGUGAAAGCCCUGGGCUCAACCUAGGAACGGCGAUUGAAACUGGCAGUCUAGAGUUUAGUAGAGGGAAGGGGAAUUUCUGGAGUAGCAGUGAAAUGCGUAGAUAUCAGAAGGAACAUCAGUGGCGAAGGCGCCUUCCUGGACUAAAACUGACGCUGAGGUGCGAAAGCGUGGGGAGCAAACGGGAUUAGAUACCCCGGUAGUCCACGCCCUAAACGAUGUCAACUAGCUGUUGGUCUUAUUAAAAAGAUUAGUAGCGCAGCUAACGCGAUAAGUUGACCGCCUGGGGAGUACGGUCGCAAGAUUAAAACUCAAAGGAAUUGACGGGGGCCCGCACAAGCGGUGGAGCAUGUGGUUUAAUUCGAUGCAACGCGAAGAACCUUACCAUCCCUUGACAUCCAGAGAAGUUUCCAGAGAUGGAUUCGUGCCUUCGGGAGCUCUGAGACAGGUGCUGCAUGGCUGUCGUCAGCUCGUGUCGUGAGAUGUUGGGUUAAGUCCCGCAACGAGCGCAACCCUUAUCAUUAGUUGCUACCAUUUAGUUGAGAACUCUAAUGAGACUGCCGGUGAUAAACCGGAGGAAGGCGGGGACGACGUCAAGUCAUCAUGGCCCUUAUGGGAUGGGCUACACACGUGCUACAAUGGUCGGUACAAACAGUUGCGAAGCCGCGAGGUGGUGCUAAUCUGAAAAAACCGAUCGUAGUCCGGAUCGGAGUCUGCAACUCGACUCCGUGAAGUCGGAAUCGCUAGUAAUCGUGAAUCAGAAUGUCACGGUGAAUACGUUCCCGGGCCUUGUACACACCGCCCGUCACACCAUGGGAGUGGGUUGCAAAAGAAGUGGGUAGUCUAACCUUCGGAGGACGCUC